This is a non-coding RNA of Hydra vulgaris (swiftwater hydra), 532 nucleotides long. Lineage: Eukaryota; Metazoa; Cnidaria; Hydrozoa; Anthoathecata; Hydridae. The record is from RefSeq and is a predicted model, not a curated record.
AUUGAAUGGUUUUUAAAAGAUAUAUAAAUACUGUUUUUAAUAGCAAAACAAAAAAUGUUAUACGAAAUGCCUAAUAUUGGAAUGCUUAAUAUCGGAAUAAUUAUACUUUUGGUUGUUAAAGGAGGGCUAGGACUUCAAUGUUAUUAUAAGCCUCUCCAUAACGUAACGCAAAAAGUAGAGCCGAUUAUUCAAAACUGUUCCGUAGUUGAAAAUAGUUGUUUAACUGUUAACUUAGGCAUCAAUGGAAUCAUACAGAAAACGGAAUCAAAAUGCACUAUAGAUAGCUUGUUUUUUCAAUGCUCUAAGCAAUGCAUUUUAUUUUAUACAAGCUAUACUCUUUGUCAGAUAACGUGCUGUGAUAGCGAUUUAUGCAAUUCUAAUUCAAUUGACGAAAGUACGAAUAACAAGGCUACGAGCAUUAGCAACAUUUCAAGCCUCAUAAUGGUUCUCAUUGGAUUAUUUAACAUUAUAAUAUUUAUUUGUAAUUGUUGAUAUGACUUAAAAAAGUAUUUUGAUUUUAAAAUUAAUUUAA